UACGUAGGGGGCAAGCGUUGUCCGGAUUUAUUGGGCGUAAAGAGCGUGUAGGCGGCCAGACAAGUCUGCUGUGAAAACUCGAGGCUCAACCUCGAGCUGUCGGUGGAAACUGUCUGGCUAGAGUCCGGAAGAGGAGAGUGGAAUUCCUGGUGUAGCGGUGAAAUGCGUAGAGAUCUGGAAGAACACCAAAGGCGAAGGCAGCGUCCUGGGAAGCAUCUGACGCUCAGGUGCGAAAGCUAGGGGAGCGAACGGG
This 253-nucleotide ribosomal RNA is filed under the name uncultured bacterium. RNAcentral describes it as "partial 16S ribosomal RNA". It matches the Rfam family "Bacterial small subunit ribosomal RNA", at positions 524 to 776 of the family's 1533-position model. The record is from RNAcentral.